Molecule: long non-coding RNA, 3035 nt
Organism: Mangifera indica (mango)
Lineage: Eukaryota; Viridiplantae; Streptophyta; Magnoliopsida; Sapindales; Anacardiaceae
Exons: 2
Source: RefSeq, a predicted model, not a curated record
UUUAUUUCUGUAAAAAUGAUUGUUAAGUUUGAUUUAAAAGCUUCAUAAAUCGACUCAAAUCAACCUCUAUCAGGUGGCAAAGUCGUUAGAGAUGCCUGCAUCUAUCAUUUUUUACGACGAGGUAAUCCCAUACUUUCAUAACUGGAGGUAAUCUUAUGAGGGCGGUUAACGCUACAUUUCCCACAUGUGCGGGGCUUAUGGAAGAUCGAAAACAUAUUUGAGUCUCCUAAAAUUUUCCUAAAUAAUAAUAAUAAAAAAACCAAGGGCAGAUAUGUAAUUACAUACUAGGGCCACUGAAUCAUUAGGUUUUAUCAUCCCCAUCUUCAUCGUCAGGUCCAAGCCAACUUAUUUGUUCAAGUAUGAGGCUUUGCUCUCAGAGAAAGAAGAGAAGCUUGCUGCUCCCUCUCUCUGAUGGACAGUGAAGCCAGUGAUUACACCAUUUUCACCACUUUAAAAUUUUACUUACCAAGAAAAAAAAAAAAAAACUAAACAAACUCACUUUCUCUCUCUCAAUCUCAAUUACUCUGAUGGGGCUGUGACGAUUGUUUCUAAAUCUAACUCAAGCGAUCAGGCAGUUGAAAAUCUUUUCUCAUCAUGUCGUGGCAGCUUCUGGGUAUAUUUAGAAAGUGCUUCUUGUUGUUGCCAUGGUGGUAAAGUUUCAUUUUUUGUCUGAUAAAAUCCGAAUCUGAGCCUCAUUAUACGGUAAAAAUUCGAUCUUUUAUUUAUUUAUUUAUUUAUUUAUUAUCAUUUCCACAAACCAAAGUUUCCAAAAAUUACUCAAAGUUUCUCUCUCUCUCUCUCUCCAUCGGAUGAGGCUGUGAUGAAGGUUUCAAGCUUUGUGUAGGACUCUUUGAGACUCGUUUCUUGGCGGGGCAACGUGGAGACAGAUCCAUCUUGCAGCCAUGGAACUCCUCAAGGUUUCCCUUUCAGUGCUGAAUCUGAGCCCCCAUAUAUCUGCUACUCCCAUCAGCUUAUUUUUGUUUUGUGUCUGUUAUCUUGUUUUUUUGUUUGCUAAAUUGCAAAACUAGCAUUUUGGGAGUUAAAAGAUGAGGAAAUUCUCAGGUGUAUGAGAGGCACUCUCUUUGGCUUUCUGAAUCCAAAUCCAAGGUUUCAGAACUUGAAGCAGAGUCAAGAGAGUUCUCUUUGGAUUCUCUAGUCGGGAGACAAUGGUAUUUUGGUUUUAGCUCAGGCACUUACCAAUAUGAAAUAGGUUUACUGGAAAUUUAGAAGUAUAUCAACAUGUAGUUUUUGUUAAAAGGAUAUGAGUAGAAUGCUAUUGAAUUUGACCUAAAACUUUUUAGCUGAAUCCUGAAGCUACAUGACGCCAAAGGGUAAAGCCACUUUUUCUUUAUUAAGAAUUAUAAAGAAUGUCAAAAUAAGGAAGAAGAAUUGUAAGUUAUAGACCAAAUUCAAAUGUUGAUCAAAUGCUCUAUUUUAUCUAUCUGAGGCUACACGAUCCUUAGAGAGGUUGUGGGACAAAAAUCGAGUUCAAUAAGCCUUACAAAUCAACUUCUGAAUGCCAACAUUUCCACAUCAGACAAGAUGAAGUAUAGGUAUUAGUGACCAACAGAGAGAGCAAAGUAAUUACCGUGACUGGCUUUAGAGAAACACAAUUCUUCUGAAUGUUGGAUACGCCAAUUGAUCUUGAUGUGGGAGGAGGAACAGCGUUUGUACGAGCCCUGAGCUAGGAAACCGGCCCGGGCCAUCACUGUAUGAAGUGUUAAUACUGGCCACAGCAGGAAGUGUUGCAUCAGCAAUUUUUUCAGAAGCAAUGGAUUGAGAUCGCUUUUCAGUGGUAAGUUAGCCGGAGGCAUCUCACCAAGGAAACCCCCACUUCUACUAGGGUGUAUUUUAUAGGUCAAAUUGGCAUUGUUGUGAACCAAGUACUUUUUCCUCUGUUAGCAGCUUUUCCCGACUGUGCGUAUCUGAUGGCAUUAGCAGGAAACUCAGUUACAAUUCUAUCUACACCCAUUGCCGUAUGGUUGUGGAAUGAAAACAUUGUGUCCAUUCAUUUAAACUCCAAUGUAUGCAGAGGUAUUUGCACUAUGCAUUUCUCUUUCAACUUUUGUCGCAUAUAUAGUAUAACUUUCUCUACUUGGGAUGUGACAACUGCAUCAGCAUACUUCCCGAUCUCCUCCAGUGUCAUAUUGGGUGCAUCACUUUUAUAGCGUUGAGCUUUAAAACGCGUUUAUAAGCAUUGAACUUGGACAAGCUGAAGGGUCAAAAGAAUGGAUCAAUACAUUGCUUGUCAAAGGUAGCAUUACUCGGGGCGUUGAUGCUGGGUGGAUAGCAUUCUAAGCAAGUAGAUAAUGUUUUAGAACCUUUUAUGACAAUAAUCAUUUAAAACUUUUAAGUACACAGAAAAAAUUCUUUUAAGAGAAAAUCAGUGCUUACCUAAUUCCAUCAAAACUCCAGAAACACCUUUUGUCUUUGCGAAACUCAAAAAAAUGAAGUCACAAAUUUACCCCGGCUGCUGAGUUCAUAUUGAAGCGUGAACUUUGUUUAUUACCAUGGAUGUGUAUUGGAGCUGAAAUCAUAGUAGUUUGACAUAAGUAAUGAUGCUAGAAGAAGAUCACUGAGAAUGAGAAGUUAUUGGAGAAGCUUACGUUUCCAAGACUGAAUCUCGCUCCAUUUGAGAUUGAAAAUGAUUCCAUUGUCUGUUUGAAUUGCGCCAACCUUAGUAGACUUAACAAGAAAGAGGACGUCAGAGUUGUUUCUCCCAUGAGGUUCGGCGAGUCUAAGCAGAAGCCAACUCUUAACUUUUUGACAUUUGGACUGAGCAAUCAGUCAUGUGCGCUUCAUCAUCCGCUGCUUGCUGAUAAGCAAGAUCAGUGCAGCCGGCUUAGAUCUCUCUUACUCCAUUAUGUAUUAUGACUCGAAGUUUUGCUGCAAAGGCAUAGAAUUAUGCCAAAACUUUCUAACAAUUAUUAUGUCAUAAUUUGCUUUGGAAUAUGUAAGACUAGUAUUUUACAUCUCUAAUUUGUAAUUACAAGUUUAUUAAUAAAAACUGAUCGGCAUAGGGUGUGUGUGUGAAA